GACUACCGGGGUAUCUAAGCCUGUUUGCUCCCCACGCUUUCGCACCUCAGCGUCAGUAUCGGACCAGUGAGCCGCCUUCGCCACUGGUGUUCUUCCUAAUAUCUACGAAUUCCACCUCUACACUAGGAGUUCCACUCACCUCUUCCGGACUCAAGAUCGCCAGUAUCGAGGGCAGUUCUGGAGUUGAGCUCCAGGAUUUCACCCCCGACUUAACGAUCCGCCUACGUGCGCUUUACGCCCAGUAAAUCCGAACAACGCUAGCCCCCUUCGUAUUACCGCGGCUGCUGGCACGAAGUUAGCCGGGGCUUCUUCUGUGGGUACCGUCAUUAUCGUCCCCACUGAAAGAGCUUUACAACCCUAAGGCCUUCAUCACUCACGCGGCAUGGCUGGAUCAGGCUUGCGCCCAUUGUCCAAUAUUCCCCACUGCAGCCCCCCGUAGG
RNAcentral lists this ribosomal RNA (440 nucleotides) under uncultured Hyphomicrobiales bacterium. Its description in RNAcentral is "uncultured Rhizobiales bacterium partial 16S ribosomal RNA". Lineage: Bacteria; Pseudomonadati; Pseudomonadota; Alphaproteobacteria; Hyphomicrobiales. The record is from RNAcentral.